GAACAAAGUUGUGAACUGAAGAUGAUUGAAUAAAUAUGUUGCUGGGACCACCCAGAGUUGUUCCUGCUAGAUUUCAGUGGCUGAGGCAAGUGUGCACAAAAACCGUGGCAAAACCCAACCAUGAAGGAAACAGCCACAGGAUAUGACUACCUCCUGGUUUGCUUCAGAAGAAGGUGCCUUCGGUGAGCCAAAAGGAGCCUCUUGCAUGAGCAGAAAUCACCUUUUACCAGAUGAAGUGCAGCCAUUAAUUGGCCAGAUCCAUGGGCCCCGGACCAAUCUCAAUCUCUCUCUUUCAGUCUCAGCUGAAGAGGACAAACAAAGCAAACCAAGACACCUGGGUGUUGUGAAACACCCUAAACAGCAUUUAGAGGUGAGCUCAUAGAAAAGUUCCAUAGAAAUCAUGCAGCAAUGCAGUCGGUUGUCGAUUAAAGUGGUAAUAAAAAUAUGUCGUAAGGCAUAGUCAGCAUGUUUUCAAGCUGCUAACCUCAAGAAAACGCAAUAUAAACUCCAUCUAAUCAAUAAAGCUGCAGCCUCUGAAUACAUCAUUAUGUAGAUUGCUCUCUGUUCUUUCCAGAGAAUCUAAAAGCUGGCAGCAUACUAGUGUGUCUGGGAAAGAAAGAGCAAUUUUUUGAUACAUGGUAUGCAAAGCUCUUUGGGUACUACUUUCCGAAGGACCCACAUAUGUCAAACCUUUUUAUGCUCAAUUUCUCUCUGUUUGCCAGGGUAGGUCCCAAUUUUCUCAGAAUACUUCCCUAUUUUGUUUUUGUGGAAUAUGCUAGCACAGCCUUUUAAAAUUUUUGUUAAUGUGCACAUACAGCUGAGUUCCGGUUCUGCCUUCUCUUUUCGGUCUCUGGAUGCUAAAUCUCUCAGGAUGGGAGCAGAACAUACAUAUCAGCACAUACAGAAGAAGGCAAGGAUUGCAUUUAGAUGUCACUCUGAACCACAAUUAAAGAGGGACGUAUAUGACUCUUGCUUUUUGUUUAGACUCAUGCAUGCCAACCUCCCACAGAAUCCUGGUUAGAAACUUAUUCCAGUUUGCUGUGACUCACAACUGCAGAUAAUCAGAGUUAGAAUUUUGGUUUUCAGGGAAGAAACUGAAUGGCCAGUCUAGCUGUGAUGUUUCCCUUCCAGGGUCUAGGUUUCCUUGAUGUGACUUCUGUAUUCUUACAAUCAAAUGGCAGCUACAGGAAACUGUAUUUCCAAAUGCCACAGGGGGCUGAUUCAGAUUGGGACCAUGGGGCAAGUCGGAGGGGAGAGUCACUUUUGCCUCCUGCUCUGCACUGUUUUCUCAGCCCCACAGUCCUGGGGUAAUUUGCCCUAUGGAGGAGUGGGUUGACAUGAAGUUUGUGUUUUUAGUUAGGGGAUUCCUCCCCUGGUUAAUCAUCAAUAUUUUGGUUUAUCAGUAUUCUUGUUCACAAUCCAGGGGAGGGACAGCUACUUCUGGUAAAUCUUCUCCCCUGUAGUUAUACCUAUGGGUAACUACAGCUAGCUUCUAACUGGGAUUCCAGGCAAGAGACAGAAGAAGGUAAGUGGCAUGUGUCAAGCAACAAGCUAGGUUUGUACACAUCCUUACUUAAUGCCAAAUCGCAGUGACACUUGAAAUUCUGAAUGAAGUACAUAUAACAGUGCACUCCUUCCUUCCUUCCUUCCUUCCUUCCUUCCUUCCUUCCUUCCUUCCUUCCUUCCUUCCUUCCUUCCUUCCUUCCUUCCUUCCUUCCUUCCUUCCUUCCUUCCUUCCUUCCUUCCUUCCUUCCUUCCUUCCUUCCUUCCUUCCUUCCUUCCUUCCACCAAUCCAAAAUGCAAACAGUGCUGAAUGCAUUUGACUUGAAGCUGUUUUCAUAAAGACAACGGAGUGUUACAAAUACACAAAAGUGACCCUGUUUUUAAUCUGUGAAAUACUGGAGGGUAGGAAACUGGCUUAAAAAGAAACAGAAUAAUAUGCAUCUAAAUAAACACAAUUUAUUAACUAAUGUUAUAAUGAGGAGGUUUCUUUCUGGCCUUUAUAUUAUAUAUAUAUAUUCUUGCAUUGAAUAGGAUUGCUUUGUGUGCUGAAAGAAAAUUAAAGAAUUUCUCUCUCUCUCUUUUGUAGUUCCAGAUGUUUCACAGGAAUUAUUGGGGGUGGGGGUGGAAUCUGAACACUCAAAGGAGCCAGGGGGAAAAGAUGCUGAUGUCCUUUUUGGUGGGUGGCAGAAAUGCAACAAGAUUGAAGUUAGAGAAAGUAUAGUGCAGUGGUAGCCAUGUCAGGGGGACUCUUUCAGAUUCUUUUUAGUAACUGCGAUGACCAUUCUCUUCUUUUUUGCAAAUAAACAUGUCAUGUGCAGAACACUGUUCAUUCAUUGCUUCCUUUCCACAGAUAUAUAUAUAUGCUUGCUGGUUUAUGGGUUAUCUCUCCACUAUCUCCUGUAUCCUCUGCUGUCUCUGAACUGUACCAUAGAUUCAUUUCUUAUUUGCCUAUGCACUGUCUGUCAUAUACAUUUUUGUACACAUACAGUGUAUAUCCUUCUGAGGGUUUUAGAUCCAUGCCUUUUCCUAUGUUUUCAUACAUAAUGUGUCUGAUUCAGCUUGCUUGUGUAUUGUAUUAUGCAACUGUGCCUUCCAAUAAAUUGCUUAAUUCAUAUCAAUAA
This is a long non-coding RNA of Sphaerodactylus townsendi, 2624 nucleotides long. RefSeq lists it as uncharacterized. The transcript is spliced from 4 exons. Lineage: Eukaryota; Metazoa; Chordata; Lepidosauria; Squamata; Sphaerodactylidae. The record is from RefSeq and is a predicted model, not a curated record.